GGAUUAAAAGAGUAUGCCCCCCAC
RNAcentral lists this non-coding RNA (24 nucleotides) under Rattus norvegicus (Norway rat). The record is from RNAcentral. Lineage: Eukaryota; Metazoa; Chordata; Mammalia; Rodentia; Muridae.